This 497-nucleotide ribosomal RNA is filed under the name uncultured bacterium. Its description in RNAcentral is "partial 16S ribosomal RNA". It matches the Rfam family "Bacterial small subunit ribosomal RNA", at positions 28 to 507 of the family's 1533-position model. The record is from RNAcentral.
GAUGAACGCUGGCGGCGUGCCUAAUACAUGCAAGUCGAGCGAACGGACGAGAAGCUUGCUUCUCUGAUGUUAGCGGCGGACGGGUGAGUAACACGUGGAUAACCUACCUAUAAGACUGGGAUAACUUCGGGAAACCGGAGCUAAUACCGGAUAAUAUUUUGAACCGCAUGGUUCAAAAGUGAAAGACGGUCUUGCUGUCACUUAUAGAUGGAUCCGCGCUGCAUUAGCUAGUUGGUAAGGUAACGGCUUACCAAGGCAACGAUGCAUAGCCGACCUGAGAGGGUGAUCGGCCACACCGGAACUGAGACAAGGUCCAGACUCCUACGGGAGGCAGCAGUAGGGAAUCUUCCGCAAUGGGCGAAAGCCUGACGGAGCAACGCCGCGUGAGUGAUGAAGGUCUUCGGAUCGUAAAACUCUGUUAUUAGGGAAGAACAUAUGUGUAAGUAACUGUGCACAUCUUGACGGUACCUAAUCAGAAAGCCACGGCUAACUACGUG